This 435-nucleotide ribosomal RNA is filed under the name uncultured bacterium. Its description in RNAcentral is "partial 16S ribosomal RNA". It matches the Rfam family "Bacterial small subunit ribosomal RNA", at positions 29 to 507 of the family's 1533-position model. The record is from RNAcentral.
AACGAACGCUGGCGGCAUGCCUAACACAUGCAAGUCGAACGAUUGCCUUCGGGUGUUAGUGGCGCACGGGUGCGUAACGCGUGGGAAUCUGCCCUUAGGUUCGGAAUAACAGCUGGAAACGGCUGCUAAUACCGGAUGAUAUCGCGAGAUCAAAGAUUUAUCGCCUGAGGAUGAGCCCGCGUUGGAUUGGGUAGUUGGUGGGGUAAAGGCCUACCCAGCCGACGAUCCAUAGCUGGUCUGAGCGGAUGAUCAGCCACACUGGGACUGAGACACGGCCCAGACUCCUACGGGGGGCAGGAGUGGGGAAUAUUGGACAAUGGACGCAAGCCUGAUCCAGCAAUGCCGCGUGAGUGAUGAAGGCCCUAGGGUUGUAAAGCUCUUUUACCCGGGAAGAUAAUGACGGUACCGGGAGAAUAAGCCCCGGCCAACUCCGUG